CCUACGGGAGGCAGCAGUGGGGAAUCUUGCGCAAUGGGCGAAAGCCUGACGCAGCCAUGCCGCGUGAAUGAUGAAGGUCUUAGGAUUGUAAAAUUCUUUCAGUAGGGACGAUAAUGACGGUACCUACAGAAGAAGCCCCGGCUAACUUCGUGCCAGCAGCCGCGGUAAUACGAAGGGGGCUAGCGUUGCUCGGAAUUACUGGGCGUAAAGGGAGCGUAGGCGGGUUAUCAAGUUGGAGGUGAAAGCCCAGGGCUCAACCUUGGAAUUGCCUUCAAAACUGAUAGCCUAGAGUAUGAUAGAGGUAUGUGGAACUCCGAGUGUAGAGGUGAAAUUCGUAGAUAUUCGGAAGAACACCAGUGGCGAAGGCGACAUACUGGGUCAUGACUGACGCUGAGGCUCGAAAGCGUGGGGAGCAAACAGGAUUAGAUACCCUGGUAGUCCCACGCUGUAAACGAAUAGAUUAGUCUAGUUAGUUCGGUACGGGACGAUGUCCGGUUCCGGGUUCGGUACGCGACGACGUAACCGACCAUUAAGUACAACGUACCGCCGUCGGGGUAGGGUACGGGUACCGGACCGAACGAAAGUUAAAACUUUAAAAAGUUAAGUUAAAGUUAGUACGGACGUUGAGACGUUGCCGAACGGACGACGACGAGGGGAGGAGG
This 662-nucleotide ribosomal RNA is filed under the name uncultured bacterium. Its description in RNAcentral is "bacterial SSU rRNA". The stretch from base 1 to 548 matches the Rfam family "Bacterial small subunit ribosomal RNA", at positions 338 to 873 of the family's 1533-position model. The record is from RNAcentral.